UACAGCAAUACAAAAAUGGGUCGAGUACUGCUGAGUGUGUUCCUGGUGACCUUGUGUUCCUGGGCAUGUGUUGGGGCCCCUCAGAUCGGCAAACCACGCGCAAGGCAAAUCCCUGUCGAAACCUUCGUCGACCCACGUCCAGAAGGCAACGAACUACUCUUGGAUGCGCAGAUCGGCCAACUCUUGCGCAGCGCACCUUCAGGGGCUAAACUGAUUCUCACUAAGCCCCAGUUGCCACCUAUUAUACAGAGGUUGGCUGAUAACGCUACUCUGAUUCGCCCUAAUAUUGUGGAUACUUUCCGUUGUGAAGGACGCAGCUACAGCUCACUACGCUGAUCAAGACAACGAGUGCCAGAUCUUCCACGUAUGUCUUCCUCUACAUCAGCUCUACCCCAACAAUUUCACCAGUGAAUAUACCUAUCAGUUCAGCUUCAUCUGUCCUGAGUACACUAUCUUCACCCAGGAUGCGAUGGUAUGUGCCUGGGCCAAUGAAGCGUUGCCUUGUGAAUACGCCCACGACCUCUACUGGAUGAACCUUAACUUCUUUAGAGAAGUCCCCGCUAAGGACGGCUUCGGUGUACGCUAUGCUGAAGUGAACGAACCACUCCCUCAGACCCCUAUCAUUUAGACCCCUCUCAGAUAUUAGCCCCCUCCCCCCAUUGAUCCUUACAUUUCAUCAGCCCCUAAUUGCUAAUCUGAGUCUUGACCAGAAUGAGCUUUAACAACCACCACAGGAGAGUAAAAGCCCCCCUUCCCCCUAGUCUCUUUCGUAGUGUGGUAGUUAGUCCCCCUUUUCCCAGUUAGGUAGCCCCCAUGAACCACUGCAGCCCCCUACUGUCGUGAGCCUGGUAGUCAGUCACUAGUAUAGCCCCAAAUAGCUCUUUUUCCCUAGUGGUCAGGUAGCCCUAAGUUGCCCUGCACAAAAACCCCACAAUAAUCCCUCGUAGUCUAAUAGCCCCUACUACUAGAUAGAAGAAAAAAUACUAGGAGUUUCUCAAGUAACUUGGUAAGUAAUUUCCAAGUAAGAGUAAAAAACAAGAUAUAAGUUUAUUAAGUAGUGACAUUUUAGGCUCGUAUUCUCUCCCGGGUUAAAUGAUAAUGUUUUAGGCUCGUGAUGUCUUUUGUUUACAAGUGAAAAAUAAUUAUCCUCAUAAUAUUUGUUUCAAGGCUUUCCAAUAUAUGUAAAUGAUUUUAUCUUAAUUUAAAAUCAUAUAUGGAAUAAUAUUUACAAUUUAGAAUGUUUUUAAUCACCCAUAAAUGAUAAAAAAUAGAAUAUUAAUCAAAUUCUGGCGAGCAAUCAUAGAAAACUGUGAUUAGUGACAAGGACUCGGGGGUAACUAUGUUAAAACGCUUAUGUUAUGGGCAUUGAAUUGAGACUUUACACUAAUUCCUCCGUUAUGACUAUAUAACAGGUGGUUGUUGUCAUGGCGAGGCAAGUUUGGGCAUUGGCAUUAUGACUUUUCUAAACAAUUAAUUUUUUGGCAUUAUUCUUUUUGCUUAGUAAUAAUAAUAAUCGAAGAAAAAUUUGCAUGUAUUAAAAAAUGAUUCUGAAAAUUUGCAUGUAAUCAGUUCUACGUUGUUGGACCUAUUCCUGUAUUCUGUAUGACCCUGUAACUGUAUGACCCUUUAACUGUAUGAGCUUGUAUACUGUAUGAGAUUAAUAACUAUAUACUGUAUGAAAUUAACUGUAUACUGUAUGAGACUGUAUUUCCACUGUAGAACUGUUAUGAGACUAUUUUUAUGUGCUCUGUAUACUAUGUAAUAAACUUGUACCAUUACUGUAACCUACUGUAAUGUGUAUGACUUUAUAAAGGUAUACUGUAUAAACCUGUAUCGCCACUGUAACGCUAAAUGCUGAAGGAGAAUAUGUUGUACCUUGUUGCUAACUGAGAUACUAACACACGUGUCAACCAAUACAAAAGAUGAAUACA
Molecule: long non-coding RNA, 1931 nt
Filed under: Homarus americanus (American lobster)
Lineage: Eukaryota; Metazoa; Arthropoda; Malacostraca; Decapoda; Nephropidae
Description: uncharacterized LOC121879752
Source: RNAcentral